Molecule: long non-coding RNA, 236 nt
Filed under: Solanum tuberosum (potato)
Lineage: Eukaryota; Viridiplantae; Streptophyta; Magnoliopsida; Solanales; Solanaceae
Description: long non-coding RNA (STUB_LNC006278)
Source: RNAcentral
GCUGGGUAGACUCGGUGAUAUCGGCGAUCGCCCCCGGGCCUCUCUUUCUAGCUGGGCUGGGAGUGUGCUGCUGGCUGGGUGUCCCCGGGUCGCUCUUUCUAGCUGGGCUGGGAGCAUGACUGCAUGGUAGGACGACUCGCGAUAUCUACCUCACUCACGGGUCCCUCUUUCUAGCUGGGCUGGGAGUGGACUGUUUGGUUGGGUGCCCCCUAGGGUCACUCUUUCUAGCUGGGCUG